CUUGUGCAUUUGGAUAUCUAUUAAUAAUAUAUUUUGCUGACUCUAAAAAUUUUUGUAGAGCUUUGGGAGCUUAUAAUAAGUUACAACGUGCGAGAAAGCAAAAGAAAGUAGAAUGGUUCUUUCCCACCGUAAGUUGUUAACUUUCUAUUUAAAUGAAAAUAUAUAAUAGUUUUUGAAUAAUAUUUACCGACUAGUCGACAUUCACAUUUGAUCAUAUUAUAUUUUAGAGUAAAAAACAACAAGCUAGUUAUGAGUGUGGCUAUUACAUCAUGAUUCACAUGUUGAACAUUAUAUCUGCUACUAUUGUUUGUUCAUGGACACAGA
RNAcentral lists this long non-coding RNA (324 nucleotides) under Trifolium pratense (red clover). Its description in RNAcentral is "long non-coding RNA (TPRA_LNC012700)". The record is from RNAcentral. Lineage: Eukaryota; Viridiplantae; Streptophyta; Magnoliopsida; Fabales; Fabaceae.